Molecule: transfer RNA, 68 nt
Filed under: Tarbinskiellus portentosus
Lineage: Eukaryota; Metazoa; Arthropoda; Insecta; Orthoptera; Gryllidae
Description: tRNA-Ala
Source: RNAcentral
UGGGAUUAUAGUUAAUCAUAACAUUUGGGUUGCAUUCAAAAAGUAUUGAAUUUAUUCAAUUAAUCUCA